GGUGGGACAGCGGUAGGUGGGACGGUGGUAGGUAGGACAGCGGUAGGUGGGACAGUGGUAGGUGGGUAGGUGGUUGGUAGGACAGCGGUAGGUGGGACAGUGGUAGGUGGGACAGUGGUAGGUGGGUAGGUGGUUGGUUGGGAGGUGGUUUGUGGGACGGUGGUUGGUGGUUGGUGGGUAGAUGGUUGGUGGGAAGGUAGGUAGGUAGGUAGGUGGUUGGUGGGACAGUGGUAGGUGGGUAGGUGGUUGGUUGGGAGGUGGUUUGUGGGACGGUGGUUGGUGGUUGGUGGGUAGAUGGUUGGUGGGAAGGUAGGUAGGUAGGUAGAUGGUUGGUGGGACAGUGGUAGGUGGGUAGGUGGUUGGUGGGAAGGUAGGUAGGUAGGUAGGUAGGUAGGUAGGUGGUUGGUGGGACAGUGGUAGGUGGGUAGGUGGUUGGUGGGACAGUGGUAGGUGGGACGUGGUAGGUGGGUAGGUGGUUGGUAGGACAGCGGUAGGUGGGACAGUGGUAGGUGGGACGGUGGUAGGUGGGUAGGUGGUUGGUUGGGAGGUGGUUUGUGGGACGGUGGUUGGUGGUUGGUGGGUAGAUGGUUGGUGGGAAGGUAGGUAGGUAGGUGGUUGGUGGGACAGUGGUAGGUGGGUAGGUGGUUGGUUGGGAGGUGGUUUGUGGGACGGUGGUUGGUGGUUGGUGGGUAGAUGGUUGGUGGGAAGGUAGGUAGGUAGGUAGGUAGGUAGGUAGGUAGGUAGGUAGGUAGGUAGGUAGGUAGGUGGUUGGUGGGACAGUGGUAGGUGGGUAGGUGGUUGGUGGGAAGGUAGGUAGGUAGGUGGUUGGUGGGACAGUGAUAGGUGGGUAGGUUGUUGAUGGGUAGGUGGUAGCUGAGUAGGUGGUUGGUGGUAUGUGGGUAAGUGGAAGGUGGUUGGUGGGUAGGUGGGAAGGUGGGAAGGUGAUUGGUUUGGUAGGUGGUUGGUUGGUUGGUAAGUGGUUUGUGGGAAGGUGGUUGGUGGGAAAGUGGGAAGGUGGUUGGUGGGACAGUGGUUGGUGGGAAAGUGGGAAGGUGGUUGGUGGGAAGGUGGUUGGUGAAACGGUGGUAUGUGGUUGGUGGGUAGAUGGUUGGUAGGACAGCAGUAGGUGGGACAGUGGUAGGUGGGUAGGUGGUGGGUAGGUAGGUAGGUGGUUGGUGGGACAGUGGUAUGUGGGAAGGUGGGUUGGUGGGACGGUGGAUAGGUGGAUAGGUGGUAGAGGGAUAGGUUGUUGGUUGGUGAGAAGGUGGGUAGGUGGUUGGUUGGUAAGUGGUUUGUGGGACGGUGGUUUGUGGGACUGUGGUUGGUGGGAAGGUGGGUAAGUGGGACAGUGCUAGGUGGUUGGUGGGACAGUGGUAGGUGGUUGGUUGGUAAGUGGUUUUGUGGGUUGGUGGGUAGGUGGUUGGAAGGUAGGUAGGUGGUUGGUUUUUAAGUGGUUUGUGGGAGGCUGGGUAGAUGGAAGAUGGUUGGUAGAACGGUGGUAGGUGGUUGGUGGGUAGGUGGUUGGUAGGACAGCGGUAGGUGGCUGGUGAGUAGGUGGUUGGUAAGUGGUUGGUUGGUUUGGUGGUAUGUGGUUGCUGGGUCCGUGGUUGCUGGAUAGGUGGUUGCUGGAUAGGUGGUUGCUGGAUAGG
Oncorhynchus keta (chum salmon) is the source of this 1649-nucleotide long non-coding RNA. RefSeq lists it as uncharacterized. The record is from RefSeq and is a predicted model, not a curated record. NCBI's taxonomy places the organism in Eukaryota, Metazoa, Chordata, Actinopteri, Salmoniformes, Salmonidae. The transcript has 4 exons.